GGGCCUGUAGUUCAGUUGGCUAGAACGCUUCAUUUGCAAUGAAGAGGUCAGGAGUUCGACUCUCCUCAGGUCCA
This 74-nucleotide transfer RNA is filed under the name Actinomycetes bacterium. Its description in RNAcentral is "tRNA-Ala(tgc)". It matches the Rfam family "tRNA". From Rfam's summary of the family: Transfer RNA (tRNA) molecules are approximately 80 nucleotides in length. Their secondary structure includes four short double-helical elements and three loops (D, anti-codon, and T loops). RNAcentral also lists the same sequence under 3 other names. Lineage: Bacteria; Bacillati; Actinomycetota; Actinomycetes. The record is from RNAcentral.